GCCCCUGUAGCUCAGUGGAUAGAGCACUUGCCUCCGGAGCAAGAAGUCCCGCGUUCGAGUCGCGGCGGGGGUA
Molecule: transfer RNA, 73 nt
Filed under: Chloroflexota bacterium
Lineage: Bacteria; Bacillati; Chloroflexota
Description: Chloroflexi bacterium (marine metagenome) tRNA-Arg
Rfam family: tRNA
About the family: Transfer RNA (tRNA) molecules are approximately 80 nucleotides in length.
Source: RNAcentral